UACGGAGGGUGCGAGCGUUGUUCGGAAUUAUUGGGCGUAAAGCGCACGUAGGCGGCUCUUUAAGUCUGACUGUGAAAGCCUGCGGCUCAACCGCAGGAGGCCAGGGGAUACUGGAGAGCUGGAGAGAGGGAGAGGCGAGCGGAAUUCCGGGUGUAGCGGUGGAAUGCGUAGAGAUCCGGAAGAACACCAGAGGCGAAGGCGGCUCGCUGGACCUUAUCUGACGCUGAGGUGCGAAAGCGUGGGGAGCGAA
This 250-nucleotide ribosomal RNA is filed under the name uncultured bacterium. Its description in RNAcentral is "partial 16S ribosomal RNA". It matches the Rfam family "Bacterial small subunit ribosomal RNA", at positions 524 to 772 of the family's 1533-position model. The record is from RNAcentral.